Molecule: ribosomal RNA, 360 nt
Filed under: Nematoda environmental sample
Lineage: Eukaryota; Metazoa; Nematoda
Description: SSU rRNA
Rfam family: Eukaryotic small subunit ribosomal RNA
Source: RNAcentral
UCUAUGCACAAGCCGAUUAAUGGUGAAGCCGCGAAUGGCUCAUUACAACAGCCACUGUUUACUUGAUCUUGAUUAUCCUACUUGGAUAACUGUGGUAAUUCUAGAGCUAAUACACGCAAACAAGCUCCGACCUUACGGGACGAGCGCAUUUAUUAGACCAAAACCAAUCGGGCUUCGGCCUGAUCCGUUGGUGACUCUGAAUAACUGAGCUGAUCGCAUGGUCUUUGUACCGGCGACGCAUCUUUCAAGUGUCUGCCUUAUCAACUUUCGAUGGUAGUUUAUGUGCCUACCAUGGUUGUUACGGGUAACGGAGAAUAAGGGUUCGACUCCGGAGAGGGAGCCUGAGAAACGGCUACCACA